UACGAAGGGGGCUAGCGUUGCUCGGAAUUACUGGGCGUAAAGGGCGCGUAGGCGGAUACUUAAGUUAGAGGUGAAAGCCCAGGGCUCAACCCUGGAACAGCCUUUAAUACUGGGUAUCUUGAGUUCGGGAGAGGUGAGUGGAACUCCGAGUGUAGAGGUGAAAUUCGUAGAUAUUCGGAAGAACACCAGUGGCGAAGGCGACUCACUGGCCCGAUACUGACGCUGAGGCGCGAAAGCGUGGGGAGCAAACAGGG
This 254-nucleotide ribosomal RNA is filed under the name uncultured bacterium. RNAcentral's name for it is "partial 16S ribosomal RNA". It matches the Rfam family "Bacterial small subunit ribosomal RNA", at positions 524 to 777 of the family's 1533-position model. The record is from RNAcentral.